AAACCAACAGGGAUUGCCCUAGUAACGGCGAGUGAAGCGGCAACAGCUCAAAUUUGAAAUCUGGCCUCUUUGGGGGUCCGAGUUGUAAUUUGCAGAGGGUGCUUUGGCGUUGGCUGUGGUCUAAGUUCCUUGGAACAGGACGUCGCAGAGGGUGAGAAUCCCGUAUGUGGCCGCCAGUCUUCGCCGUGUAAAGCCCCUUCGACGAGUCGAGUUGUUUGGGAAUGCAGCUCUAAAUGGGAGGUAAAUUUCUUCUAAAGCUAAAUAUUGGCCAGAGACCGAUAGCGCACAAGUAGAGUGAUCGAAAGAUGAAAAGCACUUUGGAAAGAGAGUCAAAAAGCACGUGAAAUUGUUGAAAGGGAAGCGCUUGCAGCCAGACUUGCUUGCAGUUGUUCAGCCGGGCUCUUGCCCGGUCUACUCUUCUGCUCGCAGGCCAGCAUCAGUCCGGGCGGUUGGAUAAAGGCCUAUUAAACGUACCUCCCCUCGGGGAGGACUUAUAGGGUAGGCGACAUGCAACCAGCCCGGAUUGAGGUCCGCGCAUCUGCUAGGAUGCUGGCGUAAUGGCUGUAAGCGGC
This 572-nucleotide ribosomal RNA is filed under the name Pleosporales sp. OTU21 TS-2013. Its description in RNAcentral is "eukaryotic LSU rRNA". It matches the Rfam family "Eukaryotic large subunit ribosomal RNA", at positions 62 to 648 of the family's 3401-position model. Lineage: Eukaryota; Fungi; Ascomycota; Dothideomycetes; Pleosporales. The record is from RNAcentral.